RNAcentral lists this unclassified non-coding RNA (824 nucleotides) under Hevea brasiliensis (rubber tree). Lineage: Eukaryota; Viridiplantae; Streptophyta; Magnoliopsida; Malpighiales; Euphorbiaceae. The record is from RNAcentral.
GGCUAUGUACAGGCUGCUUUUUCCAGGGCCAAGAAAAUUGAUAGUCCCUUGGCCACCGGCGUUGUGCUUUGUGGGCAGAAACAGAUGUCUGAGGUUUGUUACUGUCUUUGUUUCAUCUAUAAAUUUAUUCUUGAUUACAUUUUCUCUUGAAAUGCAGUGGCACCAAAAAGGUGCCAAUCCAUUUACAAAAGGGUACUUAACAACAAAAGUUUAUUGUAAGAAACAUUGGAUGUUCCCAAAGAUUUAUCAUAUGAAAACUUCAUACACAUCAGUUACAGUACAGAAUUUAAACCCAUAGUUUGUUGACCAGUAAAUUGAAGUGGAAAAUGAAAAACUCUCUCAAAAGUUCACCUGUCCUUCCUUUCCAAAAGUUUGAUAGUUCAACAGAAGGAUAUCUAUUAUUUCUGUACAAGAUCAGAUGCCCCUCCAAGCUCACAACUCAUUUGGUCAAACUUCAGGAGAUGCCCUUGAUCCUGUGGUAAUCCAACUCAUCUGCCAAUGCAAUAAGAAAUGAUUGAUUGAUGAGCAGUAUGUUUGCAGGAAAGAACCCAUUGACCAUGAAUUUUCAGUGUUUGCCCUUUAUUGAUAUCCAAGAUCCCCUCACAAGUUACUGUUGUAGAGAGAGAGAGAAGAGACGGAGGGAGGGGUGAGUUGGUUCACUUACAUAAUUUCUUCAGUACUUAGAAAAGGGUGGUGAACCUUCCCUUUUGUACGCUUUCUUCCUGACUGGAGUCUGAUGGAAGGAUCUGAUGACGCAACUUCUUUCUCCAAGUAUAAAUUAAUCAGAAUAUUCUCUUGACAAGAGGGGGAGAGAGAGAGAGAGA